CAGGGAGACAACAAAAUGUUUAAUAUUAUUAUUUUGUCACCUUAGGUCGAUCGGUAUCUCACGUUCUUAAUUUAUUAAGAAUUUCAUUUCCUAAGUUUUUCUAGGUCACACCCAUUUUUUUUCCUGGGCCAUUAGCUCAGGUGGUUAGAGCGCACCCCUGAUAAGGGUGAGGUCCCUGGUUCAAGUCCAGGAUGGCCCAUAUCUCUAUGUUGGGGGUAUAGCUCAGUUGGUAGAGCGCCUGCUUUGCAAGCAGGAUGUCAGCGGUUCGAGUCCGCUUACCUCCACUGAUUACCACCUCUUCCAUAAUCUGUAGAAAGGAAAUUUUUUGAGUUGUGACCAAAUCCUGAACGAAUCUAGCUUCCUAAUGUAAUCAUUAAGAUGCUGGACUCAUUGAUUUAUUUCAUUGUUUUCAGAGAACCUUGACAACUGCAUAGAUUAUUUUUAAAGACAAUAAGCAUCUUUAUUGAUGCAGAUUUAUUAUUUGUGCGAAUGCAUUAAUAACAAUUCUAUUAAGCUGAUGCUUCAAUUUUGAAGUUAUU
RNAcentral lists this transfer RNA (539 nucleotides) under uncultured cyanobacterium. Its description in RNAcentral is "partial 16S-23S ribosomal RNA intergenic spacer". The stretch from base 212 to 284 matches the Rfam family "tRNA". The record is from RNAcentral. Lineage: Bacteria; Bacillati; Cyanobacteriota.